ACGACGAUGGAGACAGACACAGAUCCUGGCAGACCAUCUGUGGACCAGAUGGCGCCGGGAAUACCUACCAUUUCUGGCUGACAGAAAGAAAUGGAGACAAGAGAGCAGAAAUCUGCAAGAAGGUGAUGUCGUGCUGAUGGCAGACACCUACAACACUCCAAGAGGUGACUGGCCUCUGGGCCGGAUCAUCAAAGUCUUCCCGGGAUCGGACGGGCGAGUCCGAUCAGCCGAAGUCAAGACUCGCAGCGGCACCUACACCAGACCCGCACACAAGCUGUGUCUACUAGAGGGCGCUGAUGACGCCCGGCGACUGGUGGCGUGUGUGCCGGCCCGUCACUGAUGGCGCCCGUCGCGCCCUGCUGCCGGCUGGCCCGGCGCGCGCUGCUGCCGCCGGCUCGUCGUGCGCUGCUGUCGCUGCUACUCACCUGCUGCCUCCGGCGCCCGCGCGCUGCGGCCGCCGCGCCCUGCUGCUGGUUAUACCCAGGCCGCCUGGUUGUGGGCGGCGCCCGAGCCGCUGAACCGGUGGCGGUAUCGGUCUUCAGAGAGACGCCGGAGACGCGACUGCUGCCCGUCAGUGUCCGUCGUACACUGCAUUCCGGUGAAGAAGAGAGACUAAUUUCAGUGAUUGAGACAAUCCGGUGUUUCACCCGUGUUCGCGUAAUCCGUGAUCGACUCGCCGCGCUCAGUGAAUAUGUUACUCGUGAUUAAGUGAUGCGUUUAGUUAUUGCGUUCAGACAGCGACGCCUGCUGAGUUAGCAUACCAGUGUGUAUGAAGUUGGGGCUAGUGGAAUGUUGCCUCAAGGCUCGCUGAUUCCAGUACCGUGGAUGGACCGCUGUGAGCUGCCGACUCUGCUCCUGAUGACUGCAGGGUCAACCGUACAGAUCAACCGACUGCCUCUACAGAGCUCUCCGAAGAAGUGUUAGCUGGCUGUGUCGAUCGCUGUGAUUUGUCCCACCGCUCUCAGAAGCACUUGUUGGACUCAGGUCGAUAUCGUGUUCCCGUAUGUGAACACUGGCGGGGGAGGGUGUUGUGACACGCGAUAAUGAUUUAGUAGCACUGUCCUGCGGCGCUUAUAAUUUAGUUGCACUGUAUCGCGGCGUAAACGAAACUCGCGCGCAAUAAGUGUAUUUUCGUGUUACGGACACGCGUCAGCUGCGCAUUUUCUUUCUUUUGAGCCUACGCGUGGCCGCGGAAGGGCCAGUGGAUACCUAGUUUGGCACAGUGCCAACUGCCAGAAAUGACCUGCUAGACUGUGACGAGCUCAAACCAUUCGGAACACCCGCGUCGACCUGUCUCAGACACCAACUCAUUUAUGUUAUAUUUUGUUUACCUUCAUUCCAUCAUGCCUGUUUUUAUUUUCUAAUACACAGCAGCACUGA
Amphibalanus amphitrite is the source of this 1380-nucleotide long non-coding RNA. RefSeq lists it as uncharacterized. The record is from RefSeq and is a predicted model, not a curated record. The transcript has 2 exons. NCBI's taxonomy places the organism in Eukaryota, Metazoa, Arthropoda, Thecostraca, Balanomorpha, Balanidae.